Non-coding RNA from Myotis davidii, 75 nucleotides. The record is from Rfam. Lineage: Eukaryota; Metazoa; Chordata; Mammalia; Chiroptera; Vespertilionidae.
GGUGGUUCUCGGGGGAUGCACCCAGGAAUCGGGCUCUCUCCUCUCUGGUUCCAGGUGUGUCACAUAAGAACCGCA